UGGGGAAAUUGCACAAUGGGCGGAUGCCUGAUGCAGCGACGCCGCGUGAGGGAUGACGGCCUUCGGGUUGUAAACCUCUUUUAUCAGGGACGAAAAGUAAGUGACUGAACCUGCAUUAGUAUCACCGGCCAACAAUAAG
Molecule: ribosomal RNA, 139 nt
Filed under: uncultured bacterium
Lineage: Bacteria
Description: partial 16S ribosomal RNA
Rfam family: Bacterial small subunit ribosomal RNA
Source: RNAcentral